Molecule: ribosomal RNA, 688 nt
Filed under: Candidatus Nanopelagicus sp.
Lineage: Bacteria; Bacillati; Actinomycetota; Actinomycetes; Candidatus Nanopelagicales; Candidatus Nanopelagicaceae
Description: bacterial SSU rRNA
Rfam family: Bacterial small subunit ribosomal RNA
Source: RNAcentral
GACGAACGCUGGCGGCGUGCUUAACACAUGCAAGUCGAGCGAUGAAGUUUCUUCGGAAAUGGAUUAGCGGCGAACGGGUGAGGAACACGUGAAGAAUCUGCCCUCCACUUUGGGAUAACACCGGGAAACCGGUGCUAAUACCGAAUAUUGAAACAUAAGUGGCAUCACUGAGUUUUGAAAGAAUUUCGGUGGAGGAUGACUUCGCGGCCUAUCAGCUAGUUGGUGAGGUAAUGGCUCACCAAGGCAACGACGGGUAGCCGGCCUGAGAGGGCGACCGGCCACACUGGGACUGAGACACGGCCCAGACUCCUACGGGAGGCAGCAGUGGGGAAUAUUGGGCAAUGGAGGAAACUCUGACCCAGCGACGCCGCGUGCGGGAUGAAGGCCUUCGGGUUGUAAACCGCUUUCAGUAGGGAAGAAGCGAAAGUGACGGUACCUACAAAAGAAGCACCGGCUAACUAUGUGCCAGCAGCCGCGGUAAUACAUAGGGUGCAAGCGUUGUCCGGAAUUAUUGGGCGUAAAGAGCUCGUAGGUCGUUUGUUACGUCGGAUGUGAAAACCUGAGGCUCAACCUCAGGCCUGCAUUCGAUACGGGCAAACUAGAGUUUGGUAGGGGAGACUGGAAUUCCUGGUGUAGCGGUGGAAUGCGCAGAUAUCAGGAGGAACACCAAUGGCGAAGGCAGGUCUCU